Molecule: long non-coding RNA, 790 nt
Filed under: Physcomitrium patens
Lineage: Eukaryota; Viridiplantae; Streptophyta; Bryopsida; Funariales; Funariaceae
Description: long non-coding RNA (PPAT_LNC005656)
Source: RNAcentral
AAAAUCUUAAAGAAAUAUUAGAAUGAUCACAAAUAUAUCUCAAAUACAUCUCAAUUCAAUCUUAAUUUAAUCCUAAUUAAAAUCCUAUUGGACUUCAUUCAAAGUUUAAGCCAAAAAUUAACUAAGUCUUAAACCUUAUAUAAACUCAAAUAAAACCCUAAAUCCUAAAUCAAAUUCUAAUCAAAUCCUAAAUCCUAAAUCAAAUCUUAACCAAUCCUAAUCAAAUCCUAACCCUAAAUCAAAUCCUAAUUGAAUCCUAAAUCCUAAAUCAAACCCUAAUCCUAAAUCAAAUCCUAACCAAUCCUAAACCAAACCUUAAAUCGUAAACCAAAUCCUAACCAAAUCCUAAUCUUAAAUCAAAUCCUAAGCAACCCUAAAUCAAACCUUAAACCAUAAAUCAAAUCCUAAUCAAAUUCCAACCAAAUCCUAAAUCCUAAACUAAAUUCUAACCAAAUCCUAACUCUAAAUCAAACCCUAAUCAAACCUUAAACUCUAAAUCAAAUCCUAACCAAAUCCUAACCCUAAAUCAAACCCUAACAAAAUCCUAAAUCCUAAACCAAACCUUAAACCUAAAUAAAGCCUAAAUAAAACUUAAAUCUUAAACCAAAUCUUAAUCUUAAAUCAAGCUGUAACCAAAUCCUAAACCUUAAAUCAAAUCCAAAUCAAAUCAUAAUCCUAAAUCAAAUCCUAAUCAAAUCCUAAUCUUAAAUCAAAUCCUAACCAAAUCCUAAUACUAAAUCAAACAUUAACCAAACUCUAAACCAAACCCUAAAUCCUAAAUCAAAUCCUA